AUCGUGGUAAAUUGGGCGUGGAUAUAGCACGGAAACGCUGUGUGUAACACAGUCAAAUGGGGUUUGCCGGCCUCAAUGGCCACUGUCCGUGGCCGGCAUGAGCGGGCUCCUGGGAGCCCGGCCUCGUUAAGUGCUCCCCAAGUACCCCCUCUCCCGCUGCUCAAAGAAGGCAGCAUAAGUGGAUCAUGUGGGCGAAACGGAGGCCUCUGUUACCCGGGUAGCCCCCCCCCCCUUUGGGGUUAUGGGGCCUGGGCGCGUGCAGAGACUAACCACAAGCGCACGAUGGGCUUCAGACCUAUCAGCAAGGUGGUAGGGUAUUGGCCUACCAUAGCGUUGACGGGUACAGAGGAUUAGGGUUUGAUCCUGGAGAGGUAGCCU
RNAcentral lists this ribosomal RNA (378 nucleotides) under Lycogala sp. RNAcentral describes it as "partial small subunit ribosomal RNA". It matches the Rfam family "Eukaryotic small subunit ribosomal RNA", at positions 121 to 397 of the family's 1831-position model. The record is from RNAcentral. Lineage: Eukaryota; Evosea; Eumycetozoa; Liceales; Enteridiidae.